This 253-nucleotide ribosomal RNA is filed under the name uncultured bacterium. RNAcentral describes it as "partial 16S ribosomal RNA". It matches the Rfam family "Bacterial small subunit ribosomal RNA", at positions 524 to 776 of the family's 1533-position model. The record is from RNAcentral.
UACGUAGGGGGCAAGCGUUGUCCGGAUUUAUUGGGCGUAAAGAGCGUGUAGGCGGCUUUGCAGGUCCGCUGUGAAAACUCGAGGCUCAACCUCGAGCUGUCGGUGGAAACCGUAAAGCUAGAGUCCGGAAGAGGAGAGUGGAAUUCCCGGUGUAGCGGUGAAAUGCGCAGAUAUCGGGAGGAACACCUGUGGCGAAAGCGGCUCACUGGACCAUAACUGACGCUGAUGCACGAAAGCUGGGGGAGCAAACAGG